Molecule: ribosomal RNA, 915 nt
Filed under: uncultured archaeon
Lineage: Archaea
Description: bacterial SSU rRNA
Rfam family: Archaeal small subunit ribosomal RNA
Source: RNAcentral
UUCCGGUUGAUCCCGCCGGACCUGACUGCUAUCGGAUUGAUACUAAGCCAUGCGAGUCAUUGUAGCAAUACAAGGCAGACGGCUCAGUAACGCGUAGUCAACCUAACCUAUGGACGGGAAUAACCUCGGGAAACUGAGAAUAAUGCCCGAUAGAACACUAUGCCUGGAAUGGUUUGUGUUCCAAAUGAUUUAUCGCCGUAGGAUGGGACUGCGGCCUAUCAGUUUGUUGGUGAGGUAAUGGCCCACCAAGACUAUUACAGGUACGGGCUCUGAGAGGAGUAGCCCGGAGAUGGGUACUGAGACACGGACCCAGGCCCUAUGGGGCGCAGCAGGCGAGAAAACUUUGCAAUGUGCGAAAGCACGACAAGGUUAAUCCGAGUGAUUUGUGCUAAACGAAUCUUUUGUUAGUCCUAGAACCACUAACGAAUAAGGGGUGGGCAAGUUCUGGUGUCAGCCGCCGCGGUAAAACCAGCACCUCAAGUGGUCAGGAUGAUUAUUGGGCCUAAAGCAUCCGUAGCCGGCUCUGUAAGUUUUCGGUUAAAUCUGUACGCUUAACGUACAGGCUGCCGGGAAUACUGCAGAGCUAGGGAGUGGGAGAGGUAGACGGUACUCGGUAGGAAGGGGUAAAAUCCUUUGAUCUAUUGAUGACCACCUGUGGCGAAGGCGGUCUACCAGAACACGUCCGACGGUGAGGGAUGAAAGCUGGGGGAGCAAACCGGAUUAGAUACCCGGGUAGUCCCAGCUGUAAACUAUGCAAACUCAGUGAUGCAUUGACUUGUGGUCAAUGCAGUGCUGCAGGGAAGCUCGUUAAGUUUGCCGCCUGGGAAGUACGUACGCAAGUAUGAAACUUAGAGGAAUUGGCGGGGGAGCAUCACAAGGGGUGAAGCCUGCGGUUCAGUGGAGUCAACGCCGGAA